AGACCCGAAACCCGGUGAUCUAGCCAUGGGCAGGUUGAAGGUUGGGUAACACUAACUGGAGGACCGAACCGACUAAUGUUGAAAAAUUAGCGGAUGACCUGUGGCUGGGGGUGAAAGGCCAAUCAAACCGGGAGAUAGCUGGUUCUCCCCGAAAGCUAUUUAGGUAGCGCCUCGUGAAUUCAUCUCCGGGGGUAGAGCACUGUUUCGGCUAGGGGGCCAUCCCGGCUUACCAACCCGAUGCAAACUGCGAAUACCGGAGAAUGUUAUCACGGGAGACACACGGCGGGUGCUAACGUCCGUCGUGAAGAGGGAAACAACCCAGACCGCCAGCUAAGGUCCCAAAGUCAUGGUUAAGUGGGAAACGAUGUGGGAAGGCCCAGACAGCCAGGAUGUUGGCUUAGAAGCAGCCAUCAUUUAAAGAAAGCGUAAUAGCUCACUGGUCGAGUCGGCCUGCGCGGAAGAUGUAACGGGGCUAAACCAUGCACCGAAGCUGCGGCAGCGACACUCAGGUGUUGUUGGGUAGGGGAGCGUUCUGUAAGCCUGCGAAGGUGGCCUGUGAGGGUUGCUGGAGGUAUCAGAAGUGCGAAUGCUGACAUAAGUAACGAUAAAGCGGGUGAAAAGCCCGCUCGCCGGAAGACCAAGGGUUCCUGUCCAACGUUAAUCGGGGCAGGGUGAGUCGACCCCUAAGGCGAGGCCGAAAGGCGUAGUCGAUGGGAAACGGGUUAAUAUUCCCGUACUUGGUGUUACUGCGAAGGGGGGACGGAGAAGGCUAUGUUGGCCGGGCGACGGUUGUCCCGGUUUAAGCGUGUAGGUGUGUGUUCCAGGUAAAUCCGGUUCACUUUAACACUGAGGCGUGACGACGAGGCACUACGGUGCUGAAGCAACAAAUGCCCUGCUUCCAGGAAAAGCCUCUAAGCAUCAGGUAACAUCAAAUCGUACCCCAAACCGACACAGGUGGUCAGGUAGAGAAUACCAAGGCGCUUGAGAGAACUCGGGUGAAGGAACUAGGCAAAAUGGUGCCGUAACUUCGGGAGAAGGCACGCUGACACGUAGGUGAAGUGAUUUACUCAUGGAGCUGAAGUCAGUCGAAGAUACCAGCUGGCUGCAACUGUUUAUUAAAAACACAGCACUGUGCAAACACGAAAGUGGACGUAUACGGUGUGACGCCUGCCCGGUGCCGGAAGGUUAAUUGAUGGGGUCAGCGCAAGCGAAGCUCCUGAUCGAAGCCCCGGUAAACGGCGGCCGUAACUAUAACGGUCCUAAGGUAGCGAAAUUCCUUGUCGGGUAAGUUCCGACCUGCACGAAUGGCGUAAUGAUGGCCAGGCUGUCUCCACCCGAGACUCAGUGAAAUUGAACUCGCUGUGAAGAUGCAGUGUACCCGCGGCAAGACGGAAAGACCCCGUGAACCUUUACUAUAGCUUGACACUGAACAUUGAGCCUUGAUGUGUAGGAUAGGUGGGAGGCUUUGAAGUGUGGACGCCAGUCUGCAUGGAGCCGGCCUUGAAAUACCACCCUUUAAUGUUUGAUGUUCUAACGUGGACCCGUGAUCCGGGUUGCGGACAGUGUCUGGUGGGUAGUUUGACUGGGGCGGUCUCCUCCUAAAGAGUAACGGAGGAGCACGAAGGUUGGCUAAUCCUGGUCGGACAUCAGGAGGUUAGUGCAAUGGCAUAAGCCAGCUUGACUGCGAGCGUGACGGCGCGAGCAGGUGCGAAAGCAGGUCAUAGUGAUCCGGUGGUUCUGAAUGGAAGGGCCAUCGCUCAACGGAUAAAAGGUACUCCGGGGAUAACAGGCUGAUACCGCCCAAGAGUUCAUAUCGACGGCGGUGUUUGGCACCUCGAUGUCGGCUCAUCACAUCCUGGGGCUGAAGUAGGUCCCAAGGGUAUGGCUGUUCGCCAUUUAAAGUGGUACGCGAGCUGGGUUUAGAACGUCGUGAGACAGUUCGGUCCCUAUCUGCCGUGGGCGCUGGAGAACUGAGGGGGGCUGCUCCUAGUACGAGAGGACCGGAGUGGACGCAUCACUGGUGUUCGGGUUGUCAUGCCAAUGGCACUGCCCGGUAGCUAAAUGCGGAAGAGAUAAGUGCUGAAAGCAUCUAAGCACGAAACUUGCCCCGAGAUGAGUUCUCCCUGAGACUUAGAGUCUCCUGAAGGAACGUUGAAGACGACGACGUUGAUAGGCCGGGUGUGUAAGCGCAGCGAUGCGUUGAGCUAACCGGUACUAAUGAACCGUGAGGCUUAACCUUACA
RNAcentral lists this ribosomal RNA (2242 nucleotides) under Salmonella enterica subsp. enterica serovar Bredeney. Its description in RNAcentral is "partial 23S ribosomal RNA". It matches the Rfam family "Bacterial large subunit ribosomal RNA", at positions 711 to 2925 of the family's 2925-position model. Lineage: Bacteria; Pseudomonadati; Pseudomonadota; Gammaproteobacteria; Enterobacterales; Enterobacteriaceae. The record is from RNAcentral.